Molecule: small nucleolar RNA, 81 nt
Filed under: Oryza sativa (Asian cultivated rice)
Lineage: Eukaryota; Viridiplantae; Streptophyta; Magnoliopsida; Poales; Poaceae
Description: box C/D snoRNA J34.1
Source: RNAcentral
AUCAGUGAGGAUAUAUUUGCUGGGUUCAAUUGUACCCUCCGUGGGGGUAAUGUUACACACCAUGAAUACAUCCAGGUUGGU